This 1517-nucleotide ribosomal RNA is filed under the name Klebsiella pneumoniae. RNAcentral's name for it is "bacterial SSU rRNA". It matches the Rfam family "Bacterial small subunit ribosomal RNA". The record is from RNAcentral. Lineage: Bacteria; Pseudomonadati; Pseudomonadota; Gammaproteobacteria; Enterobacterales; Enterobacteriaceae.
AGAGUUUGAUCAUGGCUCAGAUUGAACGCUGGCGGCAGGCCUAACACAUGCAAGUCGAGCGGUAGCACAGAGAGCUUGCUCUCGGGUGACGAGCGGCGGACGGGUGAGUAAUGUCUGGGAAACUGCCUGAUGGAGGGGGAUAACUACUGGAAACGGUAGCUAAUACCGCAUAANGUCGCAAGACCAAAGUGGGGGACCUUCGGGCCUCAUGCCAUCAGAUGUGCCCAGAUGGGAUUAGCUAGUAGGUGGGGUAACGGCUCACCUAGGCGACGAUCCCUAGCUGGUCUGAGAGGAUGACCAGCCACACUGGAACUGAGACACGGUCCAGACUCCUACGGGAGGCAGCAGUGGGGAAUAUUGCACAAUGGGCGCAAGCCUGAUGCAGCCAUGCCGCGUGUGUGAAGAAGGCCUUCGGGUUGUAAAGCACUUUCAGCGGGGAGGAAGGCGUUAAGGUUAAUAACCUUGGCGAUUGACGUUACCCGCAGAAGAAGCACCGGCUAACUCCGUGCCAGCAGCCGCGGUAAUACGGAGGGUGCAAGCGUUAAUCGGAAUUACUGGGCGUAAAGCGCACGCAGGCGGUCUGUCAAGUCGGAUGUGAAAUCCCCGGGCUCAACCUGGGAACUGCAUUCGAAACUGGCAGGCUAGAGUCUUGUAGAGGGGGGUAGAAUUCCAGGUGUAGCGGUGAAAUGCGUAGAGAUCUGGAGGAAUACCGGUGGCGAAGGCGGCCCCCUGGACAAAGACUGACGCUCAGGUGCGAAAGCGUGGGGAGCAAACAGGAUUAGAUACCCUGGUAGUCCACGCCGUAAACGAUGUCGAUUUGGAGGUUGUGCCCUUGAGGCGUGGCUUCCGGAGCUAACGCGUUAAAUCGACCGCCUGGGGAGUACGGCCGCAAGGUUAAAACUCAAAUGAAUUGACGGGGGCCCGCACAAGCGGUGGAGCAUGUGGUUUAAUUCGAUGCAACGCGAAGAACCUUACCUGGUCUUGACAUCCACAGAACUUNUUGGUGCCUUCGGGAACUGUGAGACAGGUGCUGCAUGGCUGUCGUCAGCUCGUGUUGUGAAAUGUUGGGUUAAGUCCCGCAACGAGCGCAACCCUUAUCCUUUGUUGCCAGCGGUCCGGCCGGGAACUCAAAGGAGACUGCCAGUGAUAAACUGGAGGAAGGUGGGGAUGACGUCAAGUCAUCAUGGCCCUUACGACCAGGGCUACACACGUGCUACAAUGGCAUAUACAAAGAGAAGCGACCUCGCGAGAGCAAGCGGACCUCAUAAAGUAUGUCGUAGUCCGGAUUGGAGUCUGCAACUCGACUCCAUGAAGUCGGAAUCGCUAGUAAUCGUAGAUCAGAAUGCUACGGUGAAUACGUUCCCGGGCCUUGUACACACCGCCCGUCACACCAUGGGAGUGGGUUGCAAAAGAAGUAGGUAGCUUAACCUUCGGGAGGGCGCUUACCACUUUGUGAUUCAUGACUGGGGUGAAGUCGUAACAAGGUAACCGUAGGGGAACCUGCGGUUGGAUCACCU